CCUACGGGUGGCAGCAGUAGGGAAUCUUUCACAAUGGGCGAAAGCCUGAUGGAGCAACGCCGCGUGCAGGAUGAAGGCCUUCGGGUUGUAAACUGCUUUUAUAAGCGAGCAAUAUGAUGGUAACUUAUGAAUAAGAAUCUGCUAACUACGUGCCAGCAGCCGCGGUAAUAGGUAGGGGGCAAGCGUUAUCCGGAUUUACUGGGUGUAAAGGGAGCGUAGACGGCAGCACAAGUCUGGAGUGAAAUCCCGGGGCUUAACCCCGGAACUGCUUUGGAAACUGUGCGGCUGGAGUGCAGGUGGGGUAAGCGGAAUGCCUAGUGUAGCGGUGAAAUGCGUAGAUAUUAGGAGGAACACCGGUGGCGAAGGCGGCUUACUGGACUGUAACUGACGUUGAGGCUCGAAAGCGUGGGGAGCAAACAGGAUUAGAUACCCGGGUAGUC
RNAcentral lists this ribosomal RNA (440 nucleotides) under uncultured bacterium. Its description in RNAcentral is "partial 16S ribosomal RNA". It matches the Rfam family "Bacterial small subunit ribosomal RNA", at positions 338 to 795 of the family's 1533-position model. The record is from RNAcentral.